Dermochelys coriacea (leatherback sea turtle) is the source of this 1069-nucleotide long non-coding RNA. RefSeq lists it as uncharacterized. NCBI's taxonomy places the organism in Eukaryota, Metazoa, Chordata, Testudines, Dermochelyidae. The transcript has 2 exons. The record is from RefSeq and is a predicted model, not a curated record.
AAGUAGCAAGAGGUGGGGUUCCAAAGGGUAAGUGCCGUUGAAAAAUAAUGAAGCACCAGUACCUAUGAGUUAAUGAAAACAGUUACAUAGCUUGAAACAGCAAUAAUAAAGGUAUAGAGAAGGAAGGAUUACUAAUACUGGUGUACAAUUAAUGUCUGGCAAGAAAAUAUGUAAUCUCAAAAUAAAUCCGUUAUCUAAUUAAGAUAGAAGAGUCUUAACUUCUGAAUUCUUGAAAACAGGGAGCCUCUGGGAAAAGAAUUCAGAAAUGUUGAAUUAAGCAAAUUUCUGAUGCUUAUUCUCAGAUGUACAUUUUUUGCAUUUGCAUUUUUUGCAGGUGCAUUUUUUGAGGAAAAGCUUUGUAAACUUUCAUCUAGCCAUUUCUGAUAAAUGAGUGUGAUUUUUUUCACAAACCUUUUUUGUAUAUUUUUACUCGUCUUCAUAUGACUAAACAGCUUCUUUUUAAAUGUUAAACUGGCAUGGAUUUACUGCUCAGUUAAAAAAAAGUUAAGUUGUCUGAAACACUGUGCCUGUUCCUGAAUCCCCCUAUGAAUUAUUGUUAGGGGGGUCUAGUUAAAUUGCAGAGAAAUCACACAUUUUUCACAAGUUGAUCAUAUAUAGCAAAUUUUGCAGAUGUGUAAUACAUCUGUGAAAUUUGCUAUUUAUGCUGUGAUCAACCCAUGAAAAAUGUAUGAUUUCUCCACAGCGUUUCUCAAACUGCGGGCCCUGACCCAAAAGGGGGUCACAGGCCUGUUAGGGGUUGCAUUACUGCCAUCCUUACUUCUCCGCUGCUGCUGGGGGCAGCAUUGUCUAAAGCUGGGAAACGGGAGAGCAGUGGCUGCAUGGUAUUGCCACCCUUACUUCUGUGCUGCUGCUGAUAGCGGGUGCUGCUUUCAGAGCUGGGCAUCUGGUCAGCAGCCGCCGCUCUCACCAGAUUUCACAGUCUGUGACGUGAUUUUUUUUAUUGCCCCAGACAGGUCACAUGUACUUCUUUAUGUAUAUGUGGGAGUGGAGGUAAAACCAAUAAAGGAGCCACAGCCUCCAGGGCUUUGAAGCUUUGCUGGUUUGCAGG